Molecule: long non-coding RNA, 430 nt
Filed under: Homo sapiens (human)
Lineage: Eukaryota; Metazoa; Chordata; Mammalia; Primates; Hominidae
Description: novel transcript
Source: RNAcentral
GCGGCGACUUGGCGGCGGGUGCCAUGCGUCUGGAGCUUCACAUUCUCUGCCCCCCACCCACCGCGCCGGCGCUCCCUUGUCACGCCUCGGGAAGCGCGCACCUGCCAAGCAGACAAGGUCACUCUGUCGCCGGAGGGCAGUGGCAUGAUCAUAGGUCACUGUAACCUGGAACUCCUGGGUUCAGGCAAUCUUCCCACUUCAGCUUCCUGAGUAGCUAGAAUUACAGACAGGUUUCACUAUGUUACCCAGGCUGAUCUCGAACUCCCGUACUCAAGCAACUCCCCACCUCAGCCUCCCAAAGUGCUGGGAUUACAGACGUGAGCCACAGCGCCGGGCCCCAAAAUCUAUUUUAAAUGUAAAGAAACCCAAAAGUAACAGUUUUGUAAAAGAAAAUUCACGUACUGUUUUGUAGUAAAUUCUAAACACUGUG